RNAcentral lists this ribosomal RNA (270 nucleotides) under uncultured bacterium. Its description in RNAcentral is "partial 16S ribosomal RNA". It matches the Rfam family "Bacterial small subunit ribosomal RNA", at positions 28 to 295 of the family's 1533-position model. The record is from RNAcentral.
GAUGAACGCUAGCGGGAGGCCUAAUACAUGCAAGUCGAACGGUAACAUGGGUAGCAAUAUCUGAUGACGAGUGGCGCACGGGUGAGUAACGCGUACACAACCUGCCUUAUACUGGAGCAUAGCCUCGGGAAACUGAGAUUAAUUCUCCAUAACAUUAUGAAGUGGCAUCACUUUAUAAUUAAAAUUCCGAUGGUAUAAGAUGGGUGUGCGUCUGAUUAGCUAGUUGGCGGGGUAACGGCCCACCAAGGCAACGAUCAGUAGCUGGUCUGA